AAACUGGCCAUGAUUAUAGGAAUUGUCUAUUAAAAAGAGGUUAGUUUAGUAGGUAAUCAUUAUAUAUUAGAGAACACCAUUCCUGGUGUGAUGUUGACACAAUUUUGGGGCUAGAAAUGGUACUAUGCAUAUGAGAUUUUUGAGCAUUUACAUGUGACAACUUUGUAUAUGUAAUUUUGGAGCUGUACAUAAUGAUUAUUGUACAGUUGAAAUGUGGAUGCAAUAUUGAUGUUGUGCAUCAAAUGUAAUGAACAUAUUUUUACUUGAUUAAUUGCUCCAUCUUUUGCUAAUUCAUUAAAUAGGAUUUCAAACAAAGCAUCAUUCUUUGUUCCUUGUGAAUGUUUUGGGGCAGGGACUGCAUUUUUCAAUUUGAUAUUGAGGUAUGGCAGACAAAGCAAGGCAGCAAUGCUUAGGUUCUUUAAACUCACAUGAUCAUUAAGGCAC
RNAcentral lists this long non-coding RNA (444 nucleotides) under Amborella trichopoda. RNAcentral's name for it is "long non-coding RNA (ATRI_LNC003180)". Lineage: Eukaryota; Viridiplantae; Streptophyta; Magnoliopsida; Amborellales; Amborellaceae. The record is from RNAcentral.